GAUGAACGCUGGCGGCGUGCCUAAUACAUGCAAGUCGAGCGAACGGACGAGAAGCUUGCUUCUCUGAUGUUAGCGGCGGACGGGUGAGUAACACGUGGAUAACCUACCUAUAAGACUGGGAUAACUUCGGGAAACCGGAGCUAAUACCGGAUAAUAUUUUGAACCGCAUGGUUCAAAAGUGAAAGACGGUCUUGCUGUCACUUAUAGAUGGAUCCGCGCUGCAUUAGCUAGUUGGUAAGGUAACGGCUUACCAAGGCAACGAUGCAUAGCCGACCUGAGAGGGUGAUCGGCCACACUGGAACUGAGACACGGUCCAGACUCCUACGGGAGGCAGCAGUAGGGAAUCUUCCGCAAUGGGCGAAAGCCUGACGGAGCAACGCCGCGUGAGUGAUGAAGGUCUUCGGAUCGUAAAACUCUGUUAUCAGGGAAGAACAUAUGUGUAAGUAACUGUGCACAUCUUGGCGGUACCUAAUCAGAAAGCCACGGCUAACUACGUGCCAGCAGCCGCGGUAAUACGUAGGUGGCAAGCGUUAUCCGGAAUUAUUGGGCGUAAAGCGCGCGUAGGCGGUUUUUUAAGUCUGAUGUGAAAGCCCACGGCUCAACCGUGGAGGGUCAUUGGAAACUGGAAAACUUGAGUGCAGAAGAGGAAAGUGGAAUUCCAUGUGUAGCGGUGAAAUGCGCAGAGAUAUGGAGGAACACCAGUGGCGAAGGCGACUUUCUGGUCUGUAACUGACGCUGAUGUGCGAAAGCGUGGGGAUCAAACAGGAUUAGAUACCCUGGUAGUCCACGCCGUAAACGAUGAGUGCUAAGUGUUAGGGGGUUUCCGCCCCUUAGUGCUGCAGCUAACGCAUUAAGCACUCCGCCUGGGGAGUACGACCGCAAGGUUGAAACUCAAAGGAAUUGACGGGGACCCGCACAAGCGGUGGAGCAUGUGGUUUAACUCGAAGCAACGCGAAGAACCUUACCAAAUCUUGACAUCCUUUGACAACUCUAGAGAUAGAGCUUUCCCCUUCGGGGGACAAAGUGACAGGUGGUGCAUGGUUGUCGUCAGCUCGUGUCGUGAGAUGUUGGGUUAAGUCCCGCAACGAGCGCAACCCUUAAGCUUAGUUGCCAUCAUUAAGUUGGGCACUCUAAGUUGACUGCCGGUGACAAACCGGAGGAAGGUGGGGAUGACGUCAAAUCAUCAUGCCCCUUAUGAUUUGGGCUACACACGUGCUACAAUGGACAAUACAAAGGGCAGCGAAACCGCGAGGUCAAGCAAAUCCCAUAAAGUUGUUCUCAGUUCGGAUUGUAGUCUGCAACUCGACUACAUGAAGCUGGAAUCGCUAGUAAUCGUAGAUCAGCAUGCUACGGUGAAUACGUUCCCGGGUCU
Molecule: ribosomal RNA, 1372 nt
Filed under: uncultured bacterium
Lineage: Bacteria
Description: bacterial SSU rRNA
Rfam family: Bacterial small subunit ribosomal RNA
Source: RNAcentral